Molecule: ribosomal RNA, 430 nt
Filed under: bacterium
Lineage: Bacteria
Description: partial 16S ribosomal RNA
Rfam family: Bacterial small subunit ribosomal RNA
Source: RNAcentral
UGGGGAAUAUUGGACAAUGGGCGCAAGCCUGAUCCAGCCAUGCCGCGUGUGUGAAGAAGGCCUUUUGGUUGUAAAGCACUUUAAGCGAGGAGGAGGCUACUUGGAUUAAUACUCUAGGAUAGUGGACGUUACUCGCAGAAUAAGCACCGGCUAACUCUGUGCCAGCAGCCGCGGUAAUACAGAGGGUGCGAGCGUUAAUCGGAUUUACUGGGCGUAAAGCGUGCGUAGGCGGCUUCUUAAGUCGGAUGUGAAAUCCCUGAGCUUAACUUAGGAAUUGCAUUCGAUACUGGGAAGCUAGAGUAUGUGAGAGGAUGGUAGAAUUCCAGGUGUAGCGGUGAAAUGCGUAGAGAUCUGGAGGAAUACCGAUGGCGAAGGCAGCCAUCUGGCCUAAUACUGACGCUGAGGUACGAAAGCAUGGGGAGCAAACAGG